GAAAUGCGAUAAGUAGUGUGAAUUGCAGAAUUCAGUGAAUCAUCGAAUCUUUGAACGCACAUUGCGCCCCUCGGCAUUCCGUGGGGCAUGCCUGUUCGAGCGUCAUCUAAACCUUCAAGCCCUGCUUGGUGUUGGGUGCCUGUCCCGCCUCCGCGCGCGGACUCAUCUCAAAUCCAUUGGCGGCCCCCGCGUCGGCCACGAGCGCAGCAGAAACGCGAACUCGUGAGCCCGUCCGGGCGGCUCCCAGAAGCUACACCCACCCAGUUUGACCUCGGAUCAGGUAGGGAUACCCGCUGAACUUAAGC
Molecule: unclassified non-coding RNA, 305 nt
Filed under: plant metagenome
Description: partial contains 5.8S ribosomal RNA, internal transcribed spacer 2, and large subunit ribosomal RNA
Rfam family: 5.8S ribosomal RNA (bases 1-105)
Source: RNAcentral